RNAcentral lists this ribosomal RNA (402 nucleotides) under bacterium. RNAcentral's name for it is "partial 16S ribosomal RNA". It matches the Rfam family "Bacterial small subunit ribosomal RNA", at positions 355 to 776 of the family's 1533-position model. The record is from RNAcentral.
UGGGGAAUUUUGCACAAUGGGGGAAACCCUGAUGCAGCGACGCCGCGUGAUUUAGAAGGCCUUCGGGUUGUAAAAAUCUUUUCUAUGGGAAGAAAAUGACAGUACCAUAGGAAUAAGGACCGGCUAAUUACGUGCCAGCAGCCGCGGUAAUACGUAAGGUCCGAGCGUUGUCCGGAAUCAUUGGGCGUAAAGGGUACGUAGGCGGGUAAGCAAGUUAGAAGUGAAAUCCUAUAGCUCAACUAUAGUAAGCUUUUAAAACUGCUCAUCUUGAGGUAUGGAAGGGAAAGUGGAAUUCCUAGUGUAGCGGUGAAAUGCACAGAUAUUAGGAGGAAUACCGGUGGCGAAGGCGAAUUUCUGGACAUACCCUGACGCUGAGGUACGAAAGCGUGGGUAGCAAACAGG